Molecule: ribosomal RNA, 432 nt
Filed under: uncultured bacterium
Lineage: Bacteria
Description: partial 16S ribosomal RNA
Rfam family: Bacterial small subunit ribosomal RNA
Source: RNAcentral
ACGAACGCUGGCGGCAUGCCUAACACAUGCAAGUCGAACGAGACCUUCGGGUCUAGUGGCGCACGGGUGCGUAACGCGUGGGAACCUGCCCUUAGGUUCGGAAUAACUCCCCGAAAGGGGUGCUAAUACCGGAUAAUGUCUUCGGACCAAAGAUUUAUCGCCUUUGGAUGGGCCCGCGUUGGAUUAGCUAGUUGGUAGGGUAAAAGCCUACCAAGGCGACGAUCCAUAGCUGGUCUGAGAGGAUGAACAGCCACACUGGGACUGAGACACGGCCCAGACUCCUACGGGAGGCAGCAGUGGGGAAUAUUGGACAAUGGGCGAAAGCCUGAUCCAGCAAUGCCGCGUGAGUGAUGAAGGCCUUAGGGUUGUAAAGCUCUUUUACCCGGGAUGAUAAUGACAGUACCGGGAGAAUAAGCUCCGGCUAACUCCGUG